Molecule: ribosomal RNA, 259 nt
Filed under: uncultured bacterium
Lineage: Bacteria
Description: partial 16S ribosomal RNA
Rfam family: Bacterial small subunit ribosomal RNA
Source: RNAcentral
UACGGAGGGAGCUAGCGUUGUUCGGAAUUACUGGGCGUAAAGCGCGCGUAGGCGGCUUUUGUAAGUUAGAGGUGAAAGCCCGGAGCUCAACUCCGGAACUGCCUUUUAAGACUGCAUCGCUUGAAUCCAGGAGAGGUGAGUGGAAUUCCGAGUGUAGAGGUGAAAUUCGUAGAUAUUCGGAAGAACACCAGUGGCGAAGGCGGCUCACUGGACUGGUAUUGACGCUGAGGUGCGAAAGCGUGGGGAGCAAACAGGAUUA